Molecule: long non-coding RNA, 2770 nt
Filed under: Homo sapiens (human)
Lineage: Eukaryota; Metazoa; Chordata; Mammalia; Primates; Hominidae
Description: HSALNT0044684
Source: RNAcentral
GGCACAGUUCCUCUUGGCUUCCCCUGGCUAGGGGAGGGAGUUCCCCAAUCCCUGGCACUUCCCUGGUGAAACAAUGCCCCACCCUGCCUUGGCUUGCCCUCUAUGGGCUGCACCCCCUGUCUAACCAGUCCCGAUGAGAUGAGCCAGAUACCUCAGCUGGAAAUGCAGAAAUCACCCACCUUCUGCGUUGAUCUCUGCGGGAGCUGUAGACUGGAGCUCUUCCUAUUCGGCCAUCUUGCCAGCCACCCGUACUGUACUUUGGAAGAAAGUCACUACAUAUAGCCAGCACUUUAAAAGAAUGGAGAAUUAUGGUCCCUAUCCUUAAGGCAAAUACAUUGGAGACUUCUCAACUUUCUGCUUCUGAUGAUCUCAACUUGUGGUAUGGCAAAAGGAGAGCAAAAUGUUCACCCAGAUGACAUCGUGAUCAACUCCUCUGAAUCACUCUAAAGGAACGAGAAGUCCUGGCAGCUGAGUCAUGAUCCCCCAGGAGCCAUUAAGAAGUUAAUCUUCAGUCACUUCCAUCCAAACAGAAGAAAACCCAUGAAGGAUGAGAACUAUGGGUCCUGAGAAUGACAGAAGCAGAUCAAGAAACUGGCGAUUGAAGAGUAACUGAAAGAAACGCAAUCUGAUCUUACUAGCAGUGAAAGAGCGAGUCUCCCUCUGAUGCCGAGCAGAAGCUAGACUGUACUGCUGCCAUCUCAGCUCACUGCAACCUCCCUGCCUGAUUCUCCUGCCUCAGCCUGCUGAGUGCCUGCAAUUGCAGGCGCGCCGCCACGCCUGACUGGUUUUCGUAUUUUUUUGGUGGAGACGGGGAUUCGCUGUGUUGGCCGGGCUGGUCUCCAGCUCCUAACCGCGAGUGAUCCACCAGCCUCGGCCUCCUGAGGUGCCGGGAUUGCAGACGGAGUCUGGUUCACUCAGUGCUCAAUGGCGCCCAGACUGGAGUGCAGUGGCGUGAUCUCAGCUCGCUACAACCUCCACCUCCCAGCCGCCUCCCUUGGCCUCCCAAAGUGCAGAGAUUGCAGCCUCUGCCCGGCCGCCACCCCGCCUGGGAAGUGAGGAGCGUCUCUGCCUGGCCGCCCAUUGUCUGGGAUGUGAGGAGCCCCUCUGCCUGGCUGCCCAGUCUGGAAAGUGAGGAGUGUCUCUGCCUGGCCGCCAUCCCAUCUAGGAAGUGAGGAGCGCCUCUUCCCGGCCGCCAUCCCAUCUAGGAAGUGAGGAGCCUCUCUGCCCAGCCGCCCAUCGUCUGAGAUGUGGGGAGCGCCUCUGCCCCGCCGCCCCGUCUGGGAUGUGAGGAGCGCCUCUACCCCGCCGCGACCCCGUCUGGGAGGUGAGGAGCGUCUCUGCCCGGCGGCCCCGUCUGGGAAGUGAGGAGACCCUCCGCCCGGCAGCCGCCCCAUCUGAGAAGUGAGGAGCCCCUCUGCCCAGCAGCCACCCUGUCUGGGAAGUGAGGAGCGUCUCUGCCCAGCAGCCACCCCGUCUGGGAGGGAGGUGGGGGGUCAGCCCCCCGCCCGGCCAGCCGCCCCGUCCGGGAGGUGAGGGGCGCCUCUGCCCGGCGGCCCCUACUGGGAAGUGAGGAGCCCCUCUGCCCGGCCAGCCGCCCCGUCUGGGAAGUGAGGAGCGUCUCCGCCCAGCAGCCACCCCGUCCGGGAGGGAGGUGGGGGGAUCAGCCCCCCGCCCGGCCAGCCGCCCAGUCCGGGAGGGAGGUGGGGGGGUCAGCCCCCCGCCCGGCCAGCCGCCCCGUCCGGGAGGUGAGGGGUGCCUCUGCCCGGCCGCCCCUACUGGGAAGUGAGGAGCCCCUCUGCCCGGCCAGCCGCCCGGUCCGGGAGGGAGGUGGGGGGGUCAGCCCCCUGCCUGGCAAGCCGCCCCGUCUGGGAGGGAGGUGGGGGGAUCAGCCCCCCGCCGGGCCAGCCACCCCGUCCGGGAGGUGAGGGGUGCCUCUGCCCGGCCGCCCCUACUGGGAAGUGAGGAGCCCCUCUGCCCGGCCAGCCGCCCCAUCCGGGAGUGAGGUGGGGGGGUCAGCCCCCUGCCCGGCCAGCCGCCCCGUCCGGGAGGUGAGGGGCGCCUCUGCCCGGCCGCCCCUACUGGGAAGUGAGGAGCCCCUCUGCCCGGCCACCACCCCGUCUGGGAGGUGUACCCAACAGCUCAUUGAGAACGGGCCAUGAUGACAAUGGCGGUUUUGUGGAAUAGAAAGCGGGGAAAGGUGGGGAAAAGAUUGAGAAAUCGGAUGGUUGCCGUGUCUGUGUAGAAAGAGGUAGACAUGGGAGACUUUUCAUUUUGUUCUGUACUAAGAAAAAUUCUUAUCCUGUUGAUCUGUGACCUUACCCCCAACCCCGUGCUCUCUGAAACAUGUGCUGUGUCCACUCAGGGCUAAAUGGAUUAAGGGCGGUGCAAGAUGUGCUUUGUUAAACAGAUGCUUGAAGGCAGCAUGCUCGUUGAGAGUCAUCACCACUCCCUAAUCUCAAGUAACCAGGGACACAAACACUGUGGAAGGCCGCAGGGUCCUCUGCCUAGGAAAACCAGAGACCUUUGUUCACUUGUUUAUCUGCUGACCUUCCCUCCACUAUUGUCCUAUGACCCUGCCAAAUCCCCCUCUGCGAGAAACACCCAAGAAUGAUCAAUAAAAAAAUAAAAUAAAAUAAAAUAAAAUAAAAUAAAUAAAGUUUCAUGCGCAUCCGUGUGAAGAGACCACCAAACAGGCUUUGUGUGAGCAGCAUGGCUGUUUAUUUCACCUGGGUGCAGGCGGGCUGAGUCCGAAAAGAGAGUCAGCCAAGGG